CUAAAUCUCCCUGCGUCGGGCACUUUUGUUUGGCUCUGUUGCCAUCGUCCCCUUCCAUCGCCUCUCCCCAUCGCCCUGGAAGUUUCUUUGGAUGCAGACUUCCUCAUUACAAGGCUGGUCCCUUCGGAAAACAGGCCUUUCUGCCUGCCUGGAGUCAUCUGGAGAGAAAUCAAGUGUGAGCACCUCUCCCGCAGAAAGUUCUGUAUGUUAUGUAACACCCUCACUCAGGGCUUCCUCGGGUUACCAGCGUGCUCUCAAUCAGCCAGCCCUCGGCUUUCUGGCUGGGGUGGGGUGGCGGUGGGGUGUCAGUGUGAUGUAAGUGGAGGUGGAGGCUUCAUUCCCAGGGGGCAUCCCCCCCCCCAAGCCCCAGUUCAAGGCCCAGGAACAAAGGGAUAGAAAGGGAACUGAUCUGUCCUUAGCUUUUCCCCUCCACCUGCAACCCCCCCUCCGCCUGCAUCUCCCCCACUUGCCCACUGACAGGGCCUCCUCUGAGAAACAGAGGAAAGCCUGUGGGCUCAGGUACCCAGGAAACACCCCCACCAUUGACACUCAGAAACCCCAUUUGAGGGGCAGGCUGCAGGCGGGGCAGGGCCACUACCUCUGCUCCCAAGUCUGGACCCAAGGCUACUUGCCUAGCAUCCUUUUCUUAUUAAAAACAUCCAGGACAACUAUUAAAUAGUUCUUGGGAGAGUUAAAGGCAUUGCUCCAGUUUGAAACAUUUCUAAAGCCCCGUUUGGAAGAAAUCUUGGAGGAGGACAAAAUGUCAUCAGUAGGCUUGGCUUCGCAAGUCUGAAAGGUUUCUCCCCACCCCCCAGAUGUUAAUGAAAAAUAGUUUGGAGAUGUUGUUUUGUUCACUGAUAGGUACCUCCCUGUUGUAGCCUACAGAUUCUCAAGGCCAAGCCAGUAAGGCAUUAUUUUCAUUUUGCUAGCUUCUGGGUGAUACUAUACUUUCCGAUUGAAUCUACUUAAUUUAGUUUAUUUAAAAAAAAAAACAAAAACAAAAAAACAAUGCUGCUGCAGAAUUUUCCAUCUUGGAAAUGUAAGUGAAAAACAGAGUUUCUCUCACCCAGGUUCCUAUAGGGGCAGAGUGGAAGGACCCUGGCGGGGCUCCCCUUUAUGCCUCGAAUUUGCCCCCCCUGAAGCCAGGGGACUGAAGGUGGUAGGUACUGGCACCUCUUACUUCAUUGCUGGUGCAGGGCGCGUCCUUUGAAAGGAAUCUCUAUUCUGUUUCAGUGCAAGGUUCCAGUCGACUAAAUGAGCUUGCCUUCUGCCAGGAGUAAGGCAGUCCUGCAAGACAGAACCAAAGUGCCAUUCCCCAG
RNAcentral lists this long non-coding RNA (1319 nucleotides) under Sus scrofa (pig). RNAcentral's name for it is "lncRNA (ENSSSCG00070027931.1)". Lineage: Eukaryota; Metazoa; Chordata; Mammalia; Artiodactyla; Suidae. The record is from RNAcentral.